CCAAGGAGUUUAGCGUGUGCGCGAGUCAUUGGGUGUAAAAACCUAAAGGCGAAAUGAAAGUGAAGGAAACUCCGCUUUCCGAGGGAGGAUGGGUUAGGUCCCUCUCCAGGGCCGGCCUCGCACUCCCGGGGGCGUCUCCACCUCAUUGCGAGAGGAGGCGCACCUAGAGCGUACACGCUGAUACCCGAAAGAUGGUGAACUAUGCCUGGCCAGGACGAAGCCAGGGGAAACCCUGGUGGAGGUCCGCAGCGAUUCUGACGUGCAAAUCGAUCGUCGGAGCUGGGUUUAGGGGCGAAAGACCAAUCGAACCAUCUAGUAGCUGGUUCCCUCUGAAGUUUCCCUCAGGAUAGCUUGCGCUCGGAUGAAACGAGUCUCAUCCGGUAGAGCGAAUGAUUAGAGGCCUUGGGGUCGAAACGACCUCAACCUAUUCUCAAACUCCAAAUAGAUGAGAACCCCGGCUUUCUUGAACCCUGUUUAUGAAGCCGGGGGCUCGGAUCAGAGUGCCAAGUGGGCCAAUUUU
RNAcentral lists this ribosomal RNA (520 nucleotides) under Irbisia panda. RNAcentral's name for it is "eukaryotic LSU rRNA". It matches the Rfam family "Eukaryotic large subunit ribosomal RNA", at positions 666 to 1138 of the family's 3401-position model. The record is from RNAcentral. Lineage: Eukaryota; Metazoa; Arthropoda; Insecta; Hemiptera; Miridae.